GUAGUAGUCUCCUUGCAGGAAGCUUCCACUGGCCAAUUUGGGUAAUUUGAGCAUAAGAACAAACAAUUAUAGUAACAUAUUAAAACCCAUUAAGUAAAAUAGGAAUCCAUGAGUCCAUAUUGAUAUACAUAAAUACACAAUUAAAUAGAUGAAGAGAAAAAUUCUUCUUGUAGCUGCCCCUGACAUAGGAAGGGUUAAUAAUCACUGGAAAAAGCUUGCCAACAAACUGUGACCCGGAGGUGAGAAGGCCGGUUAGCCAAUGACGGGUAAGACCCCCUGGGGGGGCAACCUAAGCCAGGCGGCGGCCGCCCGGGGGCACAGAUGGAGAAACGAUAUCGAUAUCGGGCGCAAGAGGGACCGUUGCCUAAGAGACUUUGCCUGCUCUGAGAUAAAAAUAUAGGAGCACAGCAACAACAUGAUAAUAUCAAAACAGAGGCCAAGGGAGGGCUCCUUGAGAAAUCACUAAGAAUUCUUGGCAUUCGCUAAUUACUUCAUCCAGAACACCUGUGUAUGUUUAACAGAUGUAAGCUAUGUAUAUAUUGAAACGCUGGUUAUAAUAAACUCAGAGUGGCCAUCAGCCCUCUCCGCAUCUAUCCUGAUGUGUACAUUGGAUUGCGACACCGACAUAUGGUGACCCCGACGUGAUCCAAGAUCGGCGGCAUUAUUGGCUCUGGAGGAUGGGAAAUCCAAGAUGACAGUCCCUGCAAGUUAUGGAAUCUAGGAAGACCAAGAUCAAGGAACCAGCAGAUUUUAUGUCUGUGCCUGAAGCUUUCCAAGUGAUUUUAGCGUGUAUCCAGCAAGAACAACUGGCUAUCCAAGACCUAUCCUGUGAAUACGGUCAACACUCUAUCUAUUCAAACUCCAAAGGCUGAGAGCAGUACCCUGACGAGUAUAUCAUGAAGAGAAAUGCUUCAAUCAUAUUGUAUAAUCACGCAUUUUCCAGACAUCAGACGAUCUGAAUUAAAGAAAGGAUUUUCCAUUCACCUCAAGGCGUGCGUGCUGUUGUAGCUAACAGCCUCCAGGUAUCAGCACCUAUAGGAUCUACCUGAGUUUUUGAGUCAAGGUCAUGGACAUCCCAGGCAUCUCUCAGCCAGUCACGGAGUAUGGACACUGCCAUAGCACUGCUGGUGAAUGGAGUAGAUCUGCACCUGGGAUCCAAACCCAUGAACCCGGGCUGCUGAAGUGGAGAGCACGGAACAUUCACCACUUGGUCAUGGGGCCAGGCCCUAUUCUUUCCUAGAAAUGUUACUAUGAGCACAAGUACAAAUAUUUUCUUGGGC
Molecule: long non-coding RNA, 1280 nt
Filed under: Equus caballus (horse)
Lineage: Eukaryota; Metazoa; Chordata; Mammalia; Perissodactyla; Equidae
Description: lncRNA (ENSECAG00000057285.1)
Source: RNAcentral